CCCGUGAACCUUUACUAUAGCUUGACACUGAACAUUGAGCCUUGAUGUGUAGGAUAGGUGGGAGGCUUUGAAGUGUGGACGCCAGUCUGCAUGGAGCCGGCCUUGAAAUACCACCCUUUAAUGUUUGAUGUUCUAACGUGGACCCGUGAUCCGGGUUGCGGACAGUGUCUGGUGGGUAGUUUGACUGGGGCGGUCUCCUCCUAAAGAGUAACGGAGGAGCACGAAGGUUGGCUAAUCCUGGUCGGACAUCAGGAGGUUAGUGCAAUGGCAUAAGCCAGCUUGACUGCGAGCGUGACGGCGCGAGCAGGUGCGAAAGCAGGUCAUAGUGAUCCGGUGGUUCUGAAUGGAAGGGCCAUCGCUCAACGGAUAAAAGGUACUCCGGGGAUAACAGGCUGAUACCGCCCAAGAGUUCAUAUCGACGGCGGUGUUUGGCACCUCGAUGUCGGCUCAUCACAUCCUGGGGCUGAAGUAGGUCCCAAGGGUAUGGCUGUUCGCCAUUUAAAGUGGUACGCGAGCUGGGUUUAGAACGUCGUGAGACAGUUCGGUCCCUAUCUGCCGUGGGCGCUGGAGAACUGAGGGGGGCUGCUCCUAGUACGAGAGGACCGGAGUGGACGCAUCACUGGUGUUCGGGUUGUCAUGCCAAUGGCACUGCCCGGUAGCUAAAUGCGGAAGAGAUAAGUGCUGAAAGCAUCUAAGCACGAAACUUGCCCCGAGAUGAGUUCUCCCUGAGACUUUAGGUCUCCUGAAGGAACGUUGAAGACGACGACGUUGAUAGGCCGGGUGUGUAAGCGCAGCGAUGCGUUGAGCUAACCGGUACUAAUGAACCGUGAGGCUUAACCUUACA
This 844-nucleotide ribosomal RNA is filed under the name Salmonella enterica subsp. enterica serovar Javiana. RNAcentral describes it as "partial 23S ribosomal RNA". It matches the Rfam family "Bacterial large subunit ribosomal RNA", at positions 2090 to 2925 of the family's 2925-position model. The record is from RNAcentral. Lineage: Bacteria; Pseudomonadati; Pseudomonadota; Gammaproteobacteria; Enterobacterales; Enterobacteriaceae.